RNAcentral lists this ribosomal RNA (868 nucleotides) under uncultured archaeon. Its description in RNAcentral is "bacterial SSU rRNA". It matches the Rfam family "Archaeal small subunit ribosomal RNA", at positions 1 to 878 of the family's 1478-position model. The record is from RNAcentral.
CUCCGGGUGAUCCUGCCGGACCCGACUGCUAUCAGAGUGAGAUUAAGCCAUGCGAGUUAACGUAGCAAUACGUGGCGCACGGCUCAGUAACACGUAGUCAACAUGCCCAGAGGACGUGGAUAACCUCGGGAAACUGAGUCUAAACCGCGAUAAGUGAGGAUUUCUGGAAUGGUUCCUGACUAAAAUCUAUAUGGCCUCUGGAUUGGACUGCGGCCGAUCAGGCUGUUGGUGAGGUAAUGGCCCACCAAACCUGUAACCGGUACGGGCUCUGAGAGGAGGAGCCCGGAGAUGGGCACUGAGACAAGGGCCCAGGCCCUAUGGGGCGCAGCAGGCGCGAAACCUCUGCAAUAGGCGAAAGCCUGACAGGGUUACUCUGAGUGACUUUCGCUAAGAAAGUCUUUUGGCACCUCUAAAAAGGGUGCAGAAUAAGGGGUGGGCAAGUCUGGUGUCAGCCGCCGCGGUAAUACCAGCACCCCGAGUGGUCGGGACGAUUAUUGGGCCUAAAGCAUCCGUAGCCGGUUCUGCAAGUCCCCCGUUAAAUCCAGCUGCUCAACAGAUGGGCCGCGGAGGAUACUACAGAGCUAGGAGGCAGGAGAGGCAAGCGGUACUCAGUGGGUAGGGGUAAAAUCCGUUGAUCCAUUGAAGACCACCAGUGGCGAAGGCGGCUUGCCAGAAUGCGCUCGACGGUGAGGGAUGAAAGCUGGGGGAGCAAACCGGAUUAGAUACCCGGGUAGUCCCAGCCGUAAACGAUGCAGACUCGGUGAUGGGUUGGCUUCGCGCUAACCCAGUGCCGCAGGGAAGCCGUUAAGUCUGCCGCCUGGGCAGUACGGUCGCAAGACUGAAACUUAAAGGAAUUGGCGGGGGAGCA